CCCCUCUCCCAGUUCCUCAGGUGUGUUGUUGUCCUUCUCUCCCAGUUCCUCAGGUGUGUUGUCCCUCUCUCCCAGUUCCUCAGGUGUGUUGUUGUCCCUCUCUCCCAGUUCCUCAGGUGUGUUGUUGUCCCCCUCCCAGUUCCUCAGGUGUGUUGUUGUCCCCCUCUCCCAGUUCCUCAGGUGUGUUGUUGUCCUUCUCUCCCAGUUCCUCAGGUGUGAACACGAGCAGUGGCAGUUUUCCAAAUCCCACUCCUCCCAGUAUUCUGAAAUCAGCGUCACACACACCCCUCUCCGUGGAUCAGAGUCCAGAUUCCGGAAUCGUCACAACCCCUUGUGUUCUCCUGUUUGCCAAAACUCAGUUCUGGAUGGAAUCCCCAAGCUCCCAGAAGAUUCCAUGACUCCUGGACUCCAACUCCCAGCAGACACCAGGAUGUGUAACAUUCUGUGACAUCAAACUGAGGGGUUUAGGACUAUAAUAGUAAUUUCAUAAAUAAUUCACUCUAGACAUUUUUAGUAGGCCUACUAAUGCUGUAUAUUGUGUAUAUUUGAUCACACUGUUGUUUUUACUUGUCCCAGGGUUUGAGUUGUGUGACUGGACCGUGUUAGGCUGAUGUAGGAAGACACUUGUCCCGGGGUUUGAGUUGUGUGACUGGACCGUGUUAGGCUGAUGUAGGAAGACACUUGUCCCGGGGUUUGAGUUGUGUGACUGGACCGUGUUAGGCUGAUGUAGGAAGACACUUGUCCCGGGGUUUGAGUUGUGUGACUGGACCGUGUUAGGCUGAUGUAGGAAGACACUUGUCCCGGGGUUUGAGUUGUGUGACUGGACCGUGUUAGGCUGAUGUAGGAAGACACUUGUCCCGGGGUUUGAGUUGUGUGACUGGACCGUGUUAGGCUGAUGUAGGAAGACACUUGUCCCGGGUUUGAGUUGUGUGACUGGACUGUGUUAGGCUGAUGUAGGAAGACACUUGUCCCGGGGUUUGAGUUGUGUGACUGGACCGUGUUAGGCUGAUGUAGGAAGACACUUGUCCCGGGGUUUGAGUUGUGUGACUGGGCCGUGUUAGGCUGAUGUAGGAAGACACUUGUCCCGGGGUUUGAGUUGUGUGACUGGACCGUGUUAGGCUGAUGUAGGAAGACACUUGUCCCGGGGUUUGAGUUGUGUGACUGGACCGUGUUAGGCUGAUGUAGGAAGACACUUGUCCCGGGGUUUGAGUUGUGUGACUGGACCGUGUUAGGCUGAUGUAGGAAGACACUUGUCCCGGGGUUUGAGUUGUGUGACUGGAAUGUGUUAGGCUGAUGUAGGAAGACACUUGUCCCGGGGUUUGAGUUGUGUGACUGGACUGUGUUAGGCUGAUGUAGGAAGACACUUGUCCCGGGGUUUGAGUUGUGUGACUGGACUGUGUUAGGCUGAUGUAGGAAGACACUUGUCCCGGGGUUUGAGUUGUGUGACUGGACUGUGUUAGGCUGAUGUAGGAAGACACUGAGGCUCAUGUUGGAACUUGGCUUUGCGGGAGGGAGAUAUCUUAUCAGGCAGGUACAUGAUGCUGUCCUACUGGCACAGAGAACAGUGGGGUCAGAGGUCAUUCUUCUCAAGCCUCACAGCAAUCCCAACUGUGUACAACAUAGACAUCACUCUGACCCUCCACCUCCAUCCUCUUCCUCCCUCCCCUCUUUCAAACAACACUCCUGUACCCUCUUAUGAUGACUGUUUAAUGACCCCUGUGCUUCAUGUGACAGGACACACACACAGGAUAAUGGGUCACAUUCAGAAUGUCCCAUCCUGUCUGUCAACAGCAGUUCAUUUAUUCAUAUCCAGUAGCAUCAGAAUUAUUUUUUAAUAAUGGUGUUGACAUCACUUCCCCCUGAAACCUCAACAGGCAGAGACUGUGGACCUGAACACAGACUCAUGCUCUCACGCACGCUCUUGAUUGGUCCGCUUGUCCCGUCCAACCCCCACCUCCUUGUCUUAGAAGUUCUCCGCCUCGUGGAUCUCUGCUUCUUGGUCUCUCGGGACAACAACACUAUAGAGCACUGAGUGUUCUUUACCUUGGUCUCUCUGGACAACAACACUCUAGACCACUGAGUGUCCAUUACCUUGGUCUCUCGGGACAACAACACUCUAGAGCACUGAGUAUCCUUUACCUUGGUGUCUCAGGACAACAACACUCUAGACCACUGAGUGUCCAUUACCUUGGUCUCUCUGGACAACAACACUCUAGAGCACUGAGUGUCCAUUACCUUGGUCUCGCAGGACAACACUGAGUGUCCAUUACCUUGGUCUCUCGGGACAACAACACUCUAGAGCACUGAGUGUCCUUUACCUUGGUCUCUCGGGACAACAACACUCUAGAGCACUGAGUGUCCUUUACCUUGGUCUCUCGGGACAACAACACUCUAGAUCACUGAGUAUUCUUUAACUUGGUGUCUCAGGACAACAACACUCUAAAGCACUGAGUAUUCUUUACCUUGGUGUCUCAGGACAACAACACUCUAGAGCACUGAGUGUCCAUUACCUUGGUCUCUCAGGACAACACUGAGUGUCCAUUACCUUGGUCUCUCGGGACAACAACACUCUAGAGCACUGAGUGUCCUUUACCUUGGUCUCUCUGGACAACAACACUCUAGACCACUGAGUGUCCAUUACCUUGGUCUCUCGGGACAACAACACUCUAGAGCACUGAGUGUCCUUUACCUUGGUCUCUCAGGACAACACUCUAGAGCACUGAGUGUCCUUUACCUUGGUCUCUCAGGACAACAACACUCUAGACCACUGAGUGUCCAUUACCUUGGUCUCUCGGGACAACAACACUCUAGACCACUGAGUGUCCAUUACCUUGGUCUCUCGGGACAACAACACUCUAGAGCACUGAGUGUCCUUUACCUUGGUCUCUCGGGACAACAACACUCUAGAGCACUGAGUGUCCUUUACCUUGGUCUCUCAGGACAACACUCUAGAGCACUGAGUGUCCAUUACCUUGGUCUCUCUGGACAACACUCUAGAGCACUGAGUGUCCAUUACCUUAGUCUCUCGGGACAACAACACUCUAGAGCACUGAGUGUCCAUUACCUUGGUCUCUCUGGACAACAACACUCUAGAGCACUGAGUGUCCAUUACCUUGGUCUCUCCGGCCAACAACACUCUAGAGCACUGAGUGUCCAUUACCUUGGUCUCUCUGGACAACAAGAAGACUGCAUGAUAGUAUUGCAAUACUAUUAGUAAUACUAAAUAUUUGGGACGUUCCCUUGGGGCUGAAUCCUAAAUUGAGAUUCACUCUUAAUUCAAACCUUCACAUGAAUCAUGCAUCGAUGUCAAAAGAAGAUUUGGGGAGAGGGAUUGGUUAUGUAUUUGCGUCUCAAAAGAAGAUUUGGGGAGAGGGAUUGGUUAUGUAUUUGCGUCUCAAGAUAGGAUUUGGCCUCUGGCAACAGGAGACACGGAAACGAUUAAUGAAUAGUUAUUCAUCCAAUAGGAGACCAGAAAAGGCCUCCAUGACUCCCGAUGAGACCUUGAAGAGAGAGAGCUUAGCAUCACUGAACACUCAUGACUGUAGGGUGUGUGUGUGUGUGUGUGUGCGCGCGCUACACCAGCCUGCUAUUAGCACAUUAAUGAGUCACCUCUGAAAUCGUUCCCACUCCAACAUCCCAGAGCCCCCCCCCCCAGGGGGGGAACACACAGAGGAAGAGGGCCAACGUGGCUGAUGAGAUUAUCUUGGUCCUCGGGGGUAAAGGCUGAAGACGAGUGAAAUGUGUGUUUGAAGUAUUUUCUCUCUCAAGUCUCAUUGUCAUUCUGUUCAGAGCCGUUUGAUUUCCUAAAGGAAAGGUGAGAUGGACUGUAUCAGUUCACCUCUGGUAGCUCCACUGCAGCAAGAGACAUGGCAUCAUGUUAGUUCCUCACACCAACCUCUAGGUACUAAAUCUUUUAUACGUUUAAUUCAACCACAUUCACUUUGUUGUUACCAAAUAAACCUUUUCAGGCAGGUGGAAAAAUAUGUCCAAAUGUGUGUAUUUCUAUACAUUAGACAGUAGUGAUUAAGGAUUGGGUGAACAGGUCAAGUGGACAUUUGUGAUUUACAUCCAGGUCAACAGGUCAACUACACUAUGAAAGGACCUGUGAUCCACUGGCAAUGCGUACUCAGCUAGUAACAAGAGGACCAGCAACGUCGACAAGUCAAACAGAAGAAUGAAAAUGAACGGCUGCUUUUUUCCCCCUACUGUUGUCAUCCGUGAUACAGCAGUUCUUCCCUGCAGGAAUGACAGUCGAUUUCAUAACGCUUUGAGAACGUUGGAGAAUCAUUGUCAGAUCCACCCAUAAGGAUCAUAAUAAUACAUAAAACAGCAGAUUGGAAAGCAUGUCCUACUAAAAAACGUACAUUGCGAGGAA
Long non-coding RNA from Oncorhynchus nerka (sockeye salmon), 4375 nucleotides. RefSeq lists it as uncharacterized. NCBI's taxonomy places the organism in Eukaryota, Metazoa, Chordata, Actinopteri, Salmoniformes, Salmonidae. The record is from RefSeq and is a predicted model, not a curated record. The transcript has 2 exons.